GACGAACGCUGGCGGCGUGCUUAACACAUGCAAGUCGAGCGGUAAGGCCCUUCGGGGUACGACGAGCGGCGAACGGGUGAGUAACACGUGGGUGACCUGCCCUUAGCUCUGGGAUAAGCCUGGGAAACUGGGUCUAAUACCGGAUAUGACCUCAUGACGCAUGUUGUGGGGUGGAAAGCCUUGUGCGGCUAGGGAUGGGCCCGCGGCCUAUCAGCUUGUUGGUGGGGUGAUGGCCUACCAAGGCGACGACGGGUAGCCGGCCUGAGAGGGCGACCGGCCACACUGGGACUGAGACACGGCCCAGACUCCUACGGGAGGCAGCAGUGGGGAAUCUUGCGCAAUGGGCGAAAGCCUGACGCAGCGACGCCGCGUGAGGGAUGACGGCCUGUGUAC
This 393-nucleotide ribosomal RNA is filed under the name uncultured bacterium. Its description in RNAcentral is "bacterial SSU rRNA". It matches the Rfam family "Bacterial small subunit ribosomal RNA", at positions 28 to 423 of the family's 1533-position model. The record is from RNAcentral.